This 460-nucleotide ribosomal RNA is filed under the name uncultured bacterium. RNAcentral describes it as "partial 16S ribosomal RNA". It matches the Rfam family "Bacterial small subunit ribosomal RNA", at positions 338 to 795 of the family's 1533-position model. The record is from RNAcentral.
CCUACGGGUGGCAGCAGUGAGGAAUAUUGGUCAAUGGACGAGAGUCUGAACCAGCCAAGUAGCGUGAAGGAUGACUGCCCUAUGGGUUGUAAACUUCUUUUAUAUGGGAAUAAAAUGUUCCACGUGUGGGAUUUUGUAUGUACCAUACGAAUAAGGAUCGGCUAACUCCGUGCCAGCAGCCGCGGUAAUACGGAGGAUCCGAGCGUUAUCCGGAUUUAUUGGGUUUAAAGGGAGCGUAGGUGGAUUGUUAAGUCAGUUGUGAAAGUUUGCGGCUCAACCGUAAAAUUGCAGUUGAAACUGGCAGUCUUGAGUACAGUAGAGGUAGGCGGAAUUCGUGGUGUAGCGGUGAAAUGCUUAGAUAUCACGAAGAACUCCGAUUGCGAAGGCAGUUCACUGGACUGCAACUGACGCUGAGGCUCGAAAGUGUGGGUAUCAAACAGGAUUAGAUACCCUAGUAGUC